GCGGCAGGCCUUAUACAUGCAAGUCGAACGGUAACAUUGGUGCUUGCACCAGAUGACGAGUGGCGGACGGGUGCGUAACGCGUAUGCAACCUACCUUUUACUAGAGUAUAGCCCAGAGAAAUUUGGAUUAAUCCUCUAUAAUAUCAUUAAAUCACAUGUUUUUUUGAUUAAAGUUUUAACGGUAAAAGAUGGGCAUGCGUCUUAUUAGUUUGUAGGUGAGGUAACGGCUCACCUAGACUACGAUAAGUAGGGGCCCUGAGAGGGGGAUCCCCCACACUGGUACUGAGACACGGACCAGACUCCUACGGGAGGCAGCAGUAAGGAAUAUUGGACAAUGGACGAAAGUCUGAUCCAGCCAUGCCGCGUGCAGGACGACUGCCCUAUGGGUUGUAAACUGCUUUUAUACAGGAAGAAAAACUCCGACGUGUCGGAGCUUGACGGUACUGUAAGAAUAAGGAUCGGCUAACUCCGUGCCAGCAGCCGCGGUAAUACGGAGGAUCCAAGCGUUAUCCGGAAUCAUUGGGUUUAAAGGGUCCGCAGGCGGUCUUUUAAGUCAGAGGUGAAAGCCUACAGCUCAACUGUAGAACGGCCUUUGAUACUGAAAGACUUGAGUUAUUGUGAAGUGGUUAGAAUGUGUGGUGUAGCGGUGAAAUGCAUAGAUAUCACACAGAAUACCGAUUGCGAAGGCAGAUCACUAACAAUAUACUGACGCUCAGGGACGAAAGCGUGGGGAGCGAACAGGAUUAGAUACCCUGGUAGUCCACGCCGUAAACGAUGGAUACUAGCUGUUCGCUUAACAUUGGUUAAGUGAGUGGCUAAGCGAAAGUGAUAAGUAUCCCACCUGGGGAGUACGGUCGCAA
RNAcentral lists this ribosomal RNA (860 nucleotides) under uncultured Flavobacteriaceae bacterium. RNAcentral describes it as "bacterial SSU rRNA". It matches the Rfam family "Bacterial small subunit ribosomal RNA", at positions 39 to 891 of the family's 1533-position model. Lineage: Bacteria; Pseudomonadati; Bacteroidota; Flavobacteriia; Flavobacteriales; Flavobacteriaceae. The record is from RNAcentral.